GAGCCAGCUAAGGGUCCAAUUUCAUUCUUUUGCAUGUGGAUAUUCAGUUUUCCUAACACCAUUUGUUGAAGACGCUGACCUUUCCCCAGUGAGUGCUCUUGGUGGCCCUAUCAAAGAUCAUUUGACCACAUAAGACAGGGUAAAAGUCAAACCCUUCUGGAAAACACCUACACUAAUUGAAUAUGACAGUGUGUCAUUUUCAAGGCCCAACUGCAGCUCUGUCAUCUGGGACCAUGGGAAGUUAAAUCCAAGAAGACAAAGCUCUAAAGUCCCUUCUCACAUCUUUAGGCUUCUGUAAGUAGCUCCUAAGCCCUCUACUCACAAAAAGAAUGAUUGUGAUGGCCCCUGAGGAGGUGAGUGGAAAUGAAAAGCAGACACUUAGGUUGCUGACAAAGAUUGCUGGCAGGUAUCUGCAUUUUGACACUAGAGUCUCCUUUUUCAUUUUCCAUUCAUUCCAAACAUAUACAACAACCAGUCACCUUCAAGACUGGCCUCGUCUGUGCCUCUCUAGGGUCAUCUUCUGAUCUUUCCCUUGACUGUCACACUCCAGCAACAGUGGGCUCUGUGUACAUCCUGACAGGAGAGGGGGUAAACAGGAGUUAGAACUGUGUCCUCAGCUCACUCGUGCUCCUGGAUCAGGCAGCUCCAAAAUGAAUCACCCUAGAACUCAGAGGUGUAAAGCAGUGGUGGCUUAUUCUUGCUUGCAUAUCUGCAGAUGGUCCAGGCAGCUCUGCCUCAGGCAGUGGCACCUGGGACACUCCUCUGCCUUGAAUGAACAGGCUGGUGGAGUGAGUCUUCUCACCAUGAUGGCAGAAGUGUAGGAGGGUGAGCAGGAAACAAGACACCCCAGCUCAAGCCUGCAUACCCUCACUCCAGUGCAUAUUUCUUUUUUUAAUUUUUAUUUAUUUAUUUAUUUUUUGAGGAAGAUUAGCCCUGAGCUAACAUCUGCUGCCAAUCCUCUUUUUGCUGAGGAAGACCGGCCCUGAGCUAACAUCCCUCCCCAUCUUCCUCUACUUUAUAUGUGGGACACCUGCCACAGCAUGGCUUGCCAAGCAGUGCCAUGUCUGCACCUGGGAUCCGAACCGGUGAAUCCCGGGCUGCCGAAGUGGAAUGUGCGAACUUAACCACUGCGCCACCGGGCCGGCCCCCCAGUGUAUAUUUCUUUGGCUGAAUCAAGGCACAUAGACCUGCCCAGUAUUGGUGGGGUGGGAAGAUACCUGCUCCCCACUCUAGUGGGUGAUCCUGCAAAGUUCCAGGGCAAAGAGUAUGGACAUGUAAUUGUAAUUCAGGGAGGGCGUUAAGAAUUGGGAAAAAUGCUCCAGUCUGUCCCAGCGCCUAACCUUCCUUCCAGUGAGCACACUCUUCCCCUGUAAAAUAAGAAGGCUGGACCAGAUGAUCUCCAGGGUUCCAGCUCCAACUUCCUGAGAAUUUGAUGGAGAACCAAUUGGAAGAAGUUGGAGGAGAGAUGAAGUAUCAAGGAUGAUCUAUGCCUGGCACUGGGCUUGGCACAUUGAGGUGCUCAGGAAAUAUCUGUUGACUUAAUGGCUUGGAGAGCUGAGUCCAAGUGUCUGGGAAAGGAUGGAGAAUGCUUUUGCUGGGCCACAGAUGUUUGCUGGCCUUCCUACCACAGGCCUGCGGAAGCACUUUGAAGUUGCAGUGGCAGCAUCCAGGUGCUCAUCUCCCUUUUUUUCUGUUGUCACUAAUGGAUUUGAUCCUGUUCCUGAGUCCCAGGGCAGCUGCUGAGCCCCCGAGAACAGAUCUAAUAGUGUGUUCUGGUUCCCAGUCUUGGGAGACUUGCAAGCAGAGGGGAGUCACCACCUUUUGCUGAGUUGUUUAAAUGCUGUGACAAGAAAGGCACUUCCCUUGAGUUCUCUAUUUUUAGAAAAUGAAAUUGUUUUCCUGGAUGCAAAAAUCUCUUUUGAGUCCCUCAGUUUGCCUAAGUUUAAAUUUAUUUUGCCUGUCAGUUUCCUCGUCUUUGCCUUCUGGAGAUGGGAUUAGGGCAUUCUUAACCUCUGAGUAGAUUCCCGUGUGCCUUCUCUCUUGCCUGUGUUUACCUGAGUACAUCACAGCCUGUCCUGCCUUUGCAGUCUUCCAGACAUUAAUAGCUUCAAGCUGCAGCCCUCCUGCCUCCCUUCCCGUCAGCCCUAGUUUGUACUUUGUGGCAAUAUGUCAUUUAUGUGCAUGUGCAGCUGCUUGAGGGUGGAACCAGAAGCUCAUGUGUCAUCUGUUUCCUCCCAGAAGGCCUAACACAAUAAAUCAGUGUUAAGUAACUGUUAGCUGGCCACACACUAUACAGGUAUGUCAUGGGUGCCUGGGAAGCUGACAAACGAGAUUCUCUAGGUCCCUGAUUAAGUUGCAUGGUGUGGCAGUGGAAGAGUCUCUAGAUAGGAAAGGAACUUAAAGGUCAUCUGGUCCAACUAUCUUUCUCUGCACUGACUUCUACCCAUAGCAUCUCUGCCCCAUUAGCAGCAGCCUCUGAGCAAACCUCUCAGGUGACAGAGAGCAAACCUUUAUCUCCCAAGACAAGCUUGUAUUCCUUAGAUAACUCUGAGUGUUAGAAAAUUCUUCCUCUAUUGAGCUGAGAUGGGUUUCCAGGCAAUAUCUGUCCUCGUUGAGAUGUUUUUCUGUCACAUGCAGCUGGACGUAUCCCUUUCAUGUGGCCAUUCUUCAUCUUCAGAGAGGCUGGCUCAGUGACUCUAAGUAUUAUCUAUUGGUGCAUAACAAAUCAUCUCAAAAUUUAGUGGCUUAAAACAAUAGUAAACAUUAUCUCACAGUUUCCAUGGGUCAAGGAUUCAUGAGUGGGUGGUUAGUUGGGGUGAUCUGGUUCAGGAUGUCUCAUGAGGGCCACACUCAUCUGAAGGCUUGACUGGGGCUGGAAGCUCUGCUUCCAAGGUGGCUCACUCACAUGCCUGGAGAAGUGGUGCUGGCUGUUGACAGGAAGCCUCAGUUCCUCACUCUGGGGCCCUCUCCAAAGGGCUGCUUGGGUGUCCUCACAACAUGGCAGCUGGCUUUUCCUAGGGAGAGUCAUCUCAGAGAGAGCAAGCAGGAACCUUUCUUUUUUACGUACCCUCAAAGUCACACUCUGUCAUUUCCACAAUAUUCUGUUGGUUACACAGAUCAGUCCAGCCCAAUGUGGGAGUAAGGCUCCAAACCUCUGUGACCCUCACUUUUCUCAUCUGUAAAUAGCCCUGCCUGGCUGUUUGAAACAAGCCUUGAAGUACUUGGUAAACUGUUUCAUAAGUGAAAGGGGCGUUUUGAAUGUAACGGUUUUCCCAGCAGUAAUGCUUCACUAGUGAGAACCUCCUGUUUAACAGGAACAGUCAAGGAAAGCAGGGCUGGAUUUGCCACAAGAUGAGGAAGACAUAUUUGAGGCCUCUUUUGGGGGUAGCCAGGUUGUGGGCUGUCCUUCUGGAGUUCAGGAACCUUGUCAUGGGGGGACCCCUCUCUGCUGUCAGGUCCCUUCCCUGUUCAGUUCAAAUGGUGGAGGGGAGAUGGAAGGUUACACACUCUUGUUGGAUGCUAUAGGAGCCCAGGAGAUCCACUGCCACUUGGAGGCCCAGACCUCUUCUGUCUUGUUCACUGUUCUGAACCCAGUGACUGGCCUACCAUGUUGAUUGAAGGAAAGAAUGAAUGUACCAAGCAGCAGUAAGCAUUGUUUUAAACACAGCCUCUGUUUUGGGAGUCUGCAACUGCCUGUGGUGUGAGGCCUUCAGUUUUGCAGGCUGCUGCCAUGUUUGUCAUUUGAAGCUUGGUGGGAGUCACUUUUACAAAAGAUUGUUUCAUCUAAUAGUAAUGUCAAUGCUUAUACUACUUGUCAGCGAAAAUAAUCCAUAACCACUCUAUAAAUGAUAAUUGGGGUGAGUUUAUUCUGAGCCUUCCUUCCCCAAGGAAGGAAGGGCACCAAAGAAGUGGGAGUGUACAGAGUGGUUAUAUACCAUCAAAGAGCAUGUAUCAUAUGUGAUUGAAAUGUCCCUUUUACAAUAGUCACAAGAUUGCUCUGUCAGCACAGCAAUUGAUGGACACAGCAGGUAGUAGGUCUGCUGUCUCGGUGGACACAUAGGGUAGCAGGUCUGUUGUCUCGAGCUGGGUUGUCACAGGUGAGCUGGGUGGUCACAGGUGAGCGUAGCAAUCAAUUCCUAGUCUAGAGAGAGAUGCUUAUCCUUAAGGAAAUGCCAGUGUAGGGGAAGUUACAGGUUUAUCUUAAGAGCAUUUGUUCUUGCUUUUGGGACGUAGCAAAUGCUUCAAGCAGAUGUACAAUGCAUGCUCAACGGCCAUGUCAGGCCCUUUUGGAAAAACAAGGUCAGGCCGAAUUAGGUUUACACCAAAUGGUUUCCUCGUAUACUCCAGUAUAUCCUAUUGCUUGCCAUUUGUUUGUCCUAUUGGAGGCCAUGAAGGGAAGAAGUAGAAUUCCUGAAUAAAUUACAUGUCUCACCGUUAGAUCUGUAAGCUCAUAUUGUAAUCUGUGCAUUUAAAUUUGUAAUUGGCUUUGGUGUGUUAAAUUUUGACUUAAGUGUUUCCUUAAUUAACCUCUAAUUUGUGGCAUUUCAGUCUUUUGCUUGGCUUGGUAACUGGUUUUCUUUUUUAGGACUUCCUUUGCUUAGGGUAGCACUUUUGGGGGUGUUUUAGUGCUGCUGGAUUUUUAAUUCACUUGUAAAAAGAAGAAUCGAGGUUGCUGGAACAUCCUGUAGAUUGUGGCUGUAGCUACAGAAGUUGUGUGAUGAUUUAAAAGAAAGAAAUCUGUUCAAAUAUCCUGCAUUGCUCUGUAGGAGAACGUGGAUUUACAAGCCCAUGACUGUGCUCAAAAUAGAUCUAGCCCAGUGCCCUAGGGACCCAUCAUCUCCUUCCUUCUCAUUCUGAGACACUCAGUGCACAGCCUCAUUCCUGUGCCUGGCUCACUGGGACCCAAGGGGCCCCCUUUGUCACCCAAGUUGUUCAGCACUGCUGUUGGUCAUUGUUACACACAGGGAAGAAUUUAAUAUACAAUACCUAUGGAUUUUAUUUUUUAUUAUGGAAAUUUUCAAACACAUACAAAAGUAUAAAUGUUGGUAUAAAGAACCCCAUGUCCUCAUCACCCACUGUCAGCAAGUCUCACCUUAAGGUCAGUCUGUGGCCUCCCUACUCUCAUUUAAUUUGAAGCAAAUGCCUGACACCUUUAACUUAAUUUUAAUAAUUAAGUUAAAAAUAAUAUUUAUAAAUAUUUCAGUAUGUAUCUCUUUAGAGAUGAAGAUUUUUCUAAAAAACAUCAAAUGGCAUUAACAUGCCUAAAAAUUUAAUUCCUUAAUAUUACCAAAUAGUCAAUGUUAAAAUUUCCCCAUUGAUUUAAAAAAUUUUUCUAGAAAUCAGGGUCCAAAUAAGGUCUAUACAUUACAAUUGUUGAUAUUUCUCCUCAUAUUUUUAAAAUGAACUUUUUAUUUUGAAAUACUUUCCAACUUAGAGGAAAGUUACAAGAGUAAUACAAAGAACUCCUAAGUCAUCCUUCCCUCAGAUCCCCCAAUUGUUAAUAUACUACAUUUGCCUUAUCAUUCUCUCUCUCUAUUUAUACAUAUUAUUUUUUUAACUAUUUAAGAGUAAGUUUCAGAUAUGAUGUCCAUUAUCACUUAAUACUUCAGUGUGUAUUCCUUAAAACAAGGACAUUCUCCUACAUAUCCAUAGUGUAAACAUUGAUACAGUGCUACUGUCUAAUCCAUGGACCCCAUUCAUGUUUUUCCAGUUAUCCCAAUAAUGUCCUUUAGGGGUCCAGGAUCCAAUCUAGGAUCACAGAUUGCAUUUGGUGGUUGUGUCUUGUCACUUUAGUUUCAGUCUGGAACAGGUCUUCCAUUUUUAUUUGUCUUUCAUGACCUGGACAUUUUUGAUGGAUACAGGCCGGUUACUUUGUAGAAUUUGUCUCAAUUUGGGAUCGCCUGGUGUUCCCUUCUGUUUACAUUCAGGUCCUGCAUUUAUGGCAGGAAUACCACAGGAUGCAUGAUUGUGUCCUUCACAGUGCAUCAUAUCAGGAGGCACAUGAUGUUAAUUUGUCCUGCUGCUAGUGCUGUAACUUUUAUCCUUAGUUAAGAUGAUGUUUGCCAGAUAUCUCCGCUGUAAAGUUAACUUUAUAAUUAUUAAUUAAUAAGUAAUUAGAAAGUAUUUUUAUGAGGAGAUACUUUAAGGCUAUGUAAAAUCCUAUUCCUCAGCAAAUCUUUACCCACUGGUUUUAGCACCCUUUGAUGAUUCUUGCUUGAAUCAGUUGUUACUUUGAUGGUUGCCACUUGGUGAUUUUCUAACACCAUUUCUUCUACUUUUAUUGGUAGACAUUGUACUGUGAGGAAGAGCUUUUUAUUUGUCUAUUCAUUUAUUUAUAUCAGUAUGAACUAAUGGAUUUCUAUCUUAUCCAGUGGGUUAUUAUGAUAACUAUCAUUUAUUUUGAUGCUCAAAUUGUCCCAGCUUUGGCUAGGAGGAGUCCUUUUAAACUGGCUCUUGUGUUCUUCUGACAUUCCCCAUCACUCUUUGAAUACUUUCUUGCUUUUGGCACAAAAAAAUGAUCCUGGUUCAUCGUGUAUUGGAAUUUGCCAUUUGUCCAAUGAGCCCUCAUUCCUUUCAGUGGAAAAUGGUAUCUAAAAGCUAAACUCUGGAUGCUAGGUAUGCUCAUUGUUAUUGGGACAUCAUUGUUUCUAUACUCUCUUUGUGGAUAGAGAUGGAUUUUUCUAACUUUUUCUUUCCAUAUUUCCAACUUCAAACUCUGGCAGUAACAGAUCUGUCUCCCGUUAUCCUCAGUAUAUUUACUUAUUUGCUCAGCCCCCUGUAUUGAACCACCCUCCCAGCCUUGCUGGCCAGAUCACCUCUGUUCCUGCACAGUCAGUCAUGCUGGCCGAUUUUCUUGACCUUGGUGCUCCUGCCUUACUGGUGACACUGGCCAAAACCCCUUGCCUCAGGGCCUGGCUGUACUGCUGCUGCUGCUGGCUGUGCUGUCUGAAUCCCCAUGGUUUAGCGCUGCCUGGGAAAGAGAAAAAGGCUCUGUAAUCUUUUUUGAUUUAUAUGUUCUCUUUCCCUCUCUCUUUUUUUCCCCUUGCAAUUUAUUUGUUGAAGAAACUGGGUCAUUUGUUCUGUAAUUUCCCACAGACUGGACUUUGCUGAUUGCAUCUCCUUAAUGUUGUUUAUCAUACUCUUCUAUUUCCUUUAUUUCCUAUAGACUGACAGCUAGAGAUAUGAUUAGAGUAGGAUUCAAUUAUAUUGACAAAAUGGUUGAUAGGUACAUUGAAAGGGGGCACAUGCUGUCUGGUUCUCUCUUUCCCACACACACACGCAUACAUGCAUGCAUACCCAUAAGCAACCAUUAUAUGUGCAACCAUCACCACAGUCCAUUUUGGAAUGUUUUCAUCACUUCCAAAAGAAACCACAUAUGCUUUAGUUAUCACUCCUCUGUGCUCCCCCACCCCAAAUCUGCUUCCCAGUCCUAAGCAACCACUCAGAUAUUUUCUGUCUUUCCAUAUUUCCCUAUUCUGGACUUUUAUAGGGGUGGAAUAUGUAGACUUUUGUAACUAGCUUCUUUGACUUAGCAUAAUUUUCAAGGUUUAUCCGAGUUGUAGCAUGUGUCAGUACUUCAUUCCUUUUUAUGACUGAAUAAUAUUCUGUUGUAUGGAUACAAUUCCACUGUGUGAAUAUACCAAAUUUUUUUUGUCCAUUCAUCCACUGAUGGAUAUUUGGGUUGUUUCCACCUUUUGGCUAUUAUGUGUAAUGCUGUUAGAAAUGUUUUUAUGUGGACACAGGUUUUUAUUUCUCUUGAGUAUAUACCCAGGGUUGGAAUUGCUGGGUCAUAGGGUAACCCUAUGUUUAAUCAUUCUAUAAUGUUUUUCAGUAUAUCUCUUUGGAUAACUUUUUUAGUGGUUCCUCUCUCUAUUACAUUAUUUAUACAUAACUCAUCACAGUCUGCUGCUGUCAUUUUACCAGUUUUAGUGAAGUAUAGAAACCUUACCUCCCUGUAAGUUCCUUUACCCUCUCCCAUUUAUGGUAUAAUUGUCUUAAAUAUUUCCUCUACGUACAUAUAGAACCACAUCAGACAGUGUUUUAAUUUUUGCUUCAACCAUUAAAACAACUUAGACAACUGAAGAGAAGGAAAGUUUAUUGUCUUAACCCAUAUACUGCAUAUCAUGUUCUUUCUUCCUUCCUGAUGUUCUAAGAUUCCUUCUUUUAUCAGUUCCUUUCUUUUUAGAGAACUUCCUUUUGCUGUUCUUUUAGGGUAGGUCUGGCGGUGACAAAUCCUCUUUAUUUUCCUUCAUUUGAGAAUGUCUUUACUUUCCUUUCAUUCCUGGAGGAUAUUUUCACUGGAUUCUGGAUUGACAGUUCUUUUCUUUUAGUGCUUGAAAAGUCUUGGCCACUUCCUUCUGGCUUCCAUGGUUUCUGGUGAAAUCCUCUGUAUUUCAAAUUGUUUUUCUUCUUCGUAAGGUGUUGCUUCUGUCUCAAUGCUUUCAGGAUUUUUUUCUUUGUCUUUUUGUUUUUGGAAGUUUGACUAUAAUAUGUUGUGGUGUGAAUUUCUUUGGGUUUAUCCUCUUUGGGUUUGCUCAGCUUCUUGAAUAUGGAGAUGUACAUCUUUUGCCAAAUUUGGGAAGUUUUCAGCCAUUAUUUCUUUAAAUACUUGGUUUUCCCUGCCUUCUUUCUUUGCCUUCUCCUUCUGGGACACCGAUGACACAAAUGACAAAAGUCCCCCAGGUCCCUGAGACUCUGUUCAUUUUUUUUCAGUCUAUUUUCUUUCUGUUGUUCAGAUUGGGUGAUUUCUCUUGUUCUAUCUUCAGUUAACUGAUUUUUUUCCCUCUUUCCCUUCCUUCUGCCGUUGAGCCUAUUACUGGGUUUUUUUUAUUUUGGUUCCUGUAUUUUUCAGUUCUAAAAUUUCCAUUUGGUUCUUCUUUUUGUCUUCUGUUUCUUUGCUGAGACUUUCUAUUUCUUUGAUGAGUCUCACUAUUAAACCUGUUAUGGAAACAGCCGGAAAAUAGAAUAUGAACACUUUUCAAAACUCGGCAGCCUGAUAGGGACAGGAAAACUUAGUGGCAUUCAUUGCUUAGCUAUUGCUUAUCUUUCAGAUGGAUGAAUUUUGGUGACAACACUUAUUUCCAUGGUAUUUUACACUUGC
RNAcentral lists this long non-coding RNA (9100 nucleotides) under Equus caballus (horse). RNAcentral describes it as "lncRNA (ENSECAG00000049218.1)". Lineage: Eukaryota; Metazoa; Chordata; Mammalia; Perissodactyla; Equidae. The record is from RNAcentral.